AAUCUGAAUCCAAUCUUCGGGGACGCGCAGCUCUCUCUGGUACCACCCCCUUCCCCAUUUCGGUCUCUCUCUCCUUAUUUCUCCUUCUCUUGCAGUGUGAUGUGUGGUCAUAUGACAGGGUCUGAAUACCAACACACUCGACAUGAGCGAGGAGGCGUAAACCGGAGAAAACAAGUGGCUAAGUGUGUGUCGCGGACACUGAGAGAGCGCGAGCUGUUACUGGGGACACGCCUAUCUGACUGAAACUGCGGAGAAGAAACUUAGUUUAAAGCAACGGGGGACACUAACUAACUAACUUUAACUAUAGUUUAGGCAUAUCCAACCCAGCGAAGUUAAAAAACAUAUAUAUUUACAAAUCGCAUCGUGUUAUUGCUUUCCCCUUUUCUGAGCGGUGUGUGCCCAAAUCUCAGAAUCGGAGGAGGCUGGGGCUUGAGGAAGCAGUUUGGACAUACUUUUACUUUAAAGUUAUCAUUUUUUUUGCUAAGCGUCAUUCUAGAGCGUCAGACCUGAUUUUGGCUGGUAAACUUGAGUUGUUAGUUUGACAAUGGUCGGUGAGUUGAAUGAGCAGGUCCGGGAAAGACCCAGACCAAGGCCCAGCCCGGACUACCUGAUGCAGUUGAUGACAGACCGGAAGGUGAUGAGCUCGCUGCCCAACUUCACUGGCAUCUUCACUCACCUGGAGCGGCUCUUAGACGAAGAGAUAGGUAGAGUGCGCAAGGACAUGUAUAACGACUCAAUGAAUGGCGGUGUGGCUGCCGAGGGGCGGGACUCCGAGGAGCUGCCUGAUGGGAUUGGUCCAGUGGCUCAGCUGCAGGAGAAGCUCUACGUGCCCGUUAAAGAGUACCCCGACUUUAACUUUGUAGGUAGGAUACUGGGUCCAAGGGGCCUAACAGCCAAACAGCUGGAGGCGGAGAUGGGCUGUAAGAUCAUGGUACGAGGAAAAGGAUCCAUGAGAGACAAGAAGAAGGAAGAGCUGAACAGAGGGAAACCUAACUGGGAACACCUAAGUGAGGAACUUCAUGUUCUCAUCACAGUGGAAGACUCACACAACAGAGCUCAGAUCAAACUACAAAGAGCUACCGCAGAGGUCAAGAAACUGCUCGUACCAGCUGCUGAUGGAGAGGACAGUCUAAAAAAGAUGCAGCUAAUGGAGCUCGCCAUUCUAAACGGAACCUACAGAGACGCCAACAUCAAGCAACCCACUAUGGCCUUCUCCCUAGCCUCCUCUCAGCAGCCUCGGCUCAUCUCCAGCCCCUCCCCUGUCAUGCAGCAGGCUAUGCGGAGCCCCGCCCCUGGUCAACAGCCCAACCUCAUGCCUCACCUGAUUCGUCAGAUCCAGAGUCAGCAGGCCCUCAUGCAAGGAGCCAAUCAGCACGCAGCACUGAUGCAGCAAUCACCUGAAUCAGGAGGGUUCUUCUACGCUCCCUACGAAUAUUCCCCCUACACCCUAACCCCAUCUAUACUAGAAUACCCCAUGGACACUACUGGUGUACUAGGUAUGGCUUUCCAAACCAAAGGCUGAGAGAUGAACUCUCUCCUACACAUGGACCUCACACACACACACACACACACACACACACACACACACACACACACACACACACACACACACACACACACACACACACACACAUACACACACACACACACACACACACACACACACACACACACACACACACACACACACACACACACACACACACACAGGACAGGCUUAUCUGAAAUGGGCCUCUUGUCUUCUUAAUGAUUCUGUCACUGUUUGAUGAUGUCACUGUUUGAUGGUGUCACUGUUAACCUCCUGUGUUUUGGUGAUGUGGUUGCGCGGUGAGCAGGAGCGAUGACGGCUCAGGUGCAACGCCACAAUAUGAGAGCCCAUCCUUACCAAAGAGUAGUGAACACCGACAGAGCUGCCACGGCAACUAAUCCCUGACCUCUGCCCACUGAUGACCCACCCGUCUCCGCCCGUGCCUCGCUCGUUGCCAUGCUCUGGACAGCAGCCACGCCCCUCCCCCAGAGUCACCUCUGCCUAACCAACCAGAGACCAGCGGCCAUGGUAACGAACCUUCAGGACCCAAUCAGGACCCAGUCACCAGCCACACCCACCCAAACACUACACUAUCAAGCCAUGUGCCCCUUUUAAAGGAAACUCCACAGCCAAACCACCCAACCACAAUCCCCUUUAACCAAAUCUCCCCAAUCUGCACUGGUCAGAUAACCUGGCUCUAUUCCUUGCCCUGCACUGAGUCGAUGUGGAGCUAUAAUAUUAUAAUAUUAUAAUAAUUCAAUAAUCCAAAUAAUAACAGUCAUAUGUGUGAUCAUAAUUAUACUUGUCGAGCACACUGACCCUCCACGGCCACUAGUCUGACUGUCCCUGUUCUCAAAACGUCACUGUCACACAAAACGUUACUUAGAUCGGGUUUACCAGGUCACACCAGUUUCACACGAUGUCCUCUCGUAAGACUAGAGUCUCGACUGUUGCACCAUGCCUGCCUUUCGACAGUGAGCUGAGCCUAUCUAAUGUGUAAGAUCUAAGCUCUCCAGGUAUAGUCUCAACCACAACGUCACAGUAUUAUAGAUAUGCGGAGAACCAAGUGCCUUUUAGUUAUUUAAAUAGAUCUGUUACAGACCAGCCUUUUUAUGAAGGCUUUCUAACCUCCAUGAAAGAGGAAUAACCUGACGCCAUCUUUUCUAUCUCUCAACACAGUGAAAGAGAUGUGUAUUUUAUAGAAACCAUCUCAAUGUUGUGAUUUAACAUAAACCCACAUGUCUUCUGGGUUUAGAGUGAAGUGCCAAAGGGUUUGUUCCUUCCGUCUGUGCAGUAGGACCUUCUCAGAACAGUAUUAAUGUUGUGUGUUUAUUUUAUUUUGGGGAGUGGUGUUUAUGUAUUUGUGUGUGUGUGUGUGUCUGCCUUUGAGAACACACUCUAUCGUAUAGUGUUGUGUUAAUAGAUGUGUGUGUGUGUGUUACAUAUUUGAGCCCCUAACUAGCCUCUUGCCAAGCGGUUGUUUUUACUCCACACAAACCGUCUCCUUCAAGACAAAACAUGGACAAUACUGUACAACAUCUGUAACAUCUGUUUUAUAAUGCAAUUUUAUAUUAUAUUUUUUAUGUGAGAAAUAACAUUAAAUUAUGUUUUCAGAUAAGAACAGUAUACCUUACUAUGAAUAUAUUUUUUCAUUCAGUUUAAGAGCUAAUAUUGCCUCCAACCAAUGUGCCAUUCACAAAGUGUCCGGAGUGUUUUUAAAGUCCUGAUAUACUGAAAACCUUCAAAUGUUCUGGAAGAUUCUUGUUUUUCAAGUUAAUCUCAGUGUUGCUUACCUUCUGUAACGUCUGUGUGUAAAGGAGGAUUAACUCUGUAGUACUGAAUAUUAAUCUACUCUUUGUACUAACUGACCCGUCCUGUACUGUUAACCUCUUUACUCAUAUCUGUCUCUGCUUUGGUUUCUUUUCAAAUAUAAACUGUGUGAAUCAGAUCAUUAAAAACUGUUGUUAAUGUUUAACGUUUUAAAAGCUGGUAAAAAUAAUAAUAAUAACUCUUUGUACUGGAAAACGAUAACAUAUUAUUAAACUGGUAGUUUUAAAAAAAACUAACAAACUUUGUCACUUUUUCUCUGUAGCAUCUAAAGUUUCCUCAGAGCUUCCUUUCUGCGUACUAAUCUUAGACACACUGCAGAUACUAUUGGAAUACACUUAUAUACUUUAGAAAGAAAGUAGGCCAGACAUACUUGUUCCCCCUUCCCCCUCAUCUCUCUGGCUCUCUCCCACUCAAACAGCUAGACAGAUUUUAAAAAGGAGAUUCCAAGGUGAUGGGCAAUCUGAAGCAAAUCGAUUGUGCAACCUAACCUCACUCACUCACUCACUCACUCACUCACUCACUCACUCACUCACUCACUCACUCACUCACUCACUCACUCACUCACUCACACCUACCUACCCACACACAAACAUGCAAACACAUCUGCUGAGCGAACUAUACUGGAACACUGUGGCUCUCCCUAACGUAUAGUAUCUCUCUCAUUCCACGGUUAAUUACAGCCAGGUGUCAUAUUUUAACUGCUGUACAUUCUCUGUCUCGAAGACUGCACCCAAGCACACAUACAGUAUAUAGACCUAUCAAAUAUUUAUUUGACAGGGCCGUCAGUGGGUUGUUCUCUUCCUGCCCUUCCUGCACCCUCUCUGGGUGUAAUUGAGGUAAUUGAGCCCCAGGCUUGGCUCUGGGCCUGUGUUCCGGAUACUGCCCCUGCAGCUGUUGGGGGAGAAGGAGUAUGAUCUGGCAACCCGCUGGACUAGAGUGUGGGAGCUAGAACAUCAAUAUGACAUUCCUAUGGAAGGAGAGUGGGCUAAAAGAGAAUGAUUGAGAAUGAGUGCGAGGGAGAAGAAGAAAUGCCAAGGAAGAGAAGAUAAAAGGUUUGCCUUUCCCCAUGUGCUCCCCUUUCCUACUGCGUCAUUCUCCCAUUUGGGGUUUGAGGCAGAUGCACCUGUUAGAAACAUCUAGAACAGCGUGUGUGUGUGUGUGUGCUCUCGAUUUUGGCUGUUCCUGUUUUGUCAAGUUUUAUGAUGUUCAGUCCAGGAUCCAGUGGUGGAAAAAGUACCUUAAUAGAAAAUUACUCAAGUGAAAGUAACCCAGUAAAAUACUACUUGAGUAAAAGUCAAAGUAUUUUGUUUUAAAUAUACUUAAGUAUCAAAAGUAAAUGUAAUUGCUCAAAUAUAUGUGGGUAUCAAAAGUAAAAGUAUAAAUCGAUUCAAAUUCCUUAUAUUAAGCAAACCUGGGUAGCCAGGGGCACACCUACACUCAGACAUAAUUUACAAAUGAAGCAUUUAUGUUUAGUUAGUCAGCCCGAUCCGAGGCAGUAGAGAUGACCAAGGAUAUUCUCUUGAUAAGUGUGUGAAUUGGACAAUUUUCCUGUCCUGCUAAUCAUUCCAAAUGUAACGAGUACUUUUGGGUGUCAGGUUAAAUGUACAUUUUUUUCUUAACGAAUGUAGUGAAGUAAAAUUUUAUCAAUAUAAAUAGUAAAAGUAUUUUUUCUUAAGUACUUAACACCACUGCCAGGAUCUCUCAGACCAUCGCCAGACCAUGUGGUAAACUCCUCUCCUCUCUGUCUAAUCUAACCUACAGACAAUGCUAGCCCACAGCUUCCAACACUCGGAUAACCAUGUCAUUGCUACCUUGAAAGGAAAUUCCAUAUAGCAAGUCAAAACGUACCAAUAUCUGGGGGGUUUUGAGUGAAUAAGAAGCUGAGCUUCACUAAUCAUGUUGAGAAGCUGGUAAAGAAGCUCAAGUUGGGCCUCCCGAGUGGCGUGGCAGUCUAAGGCGUCACUACAGACCCAGGUUCGAUCCCAGGCUGUGUAACAGCCUGCCGAGACCCAUGAGGCGGCACACAAUUGGCCCAGCGUCGUUUGGGUUAGGGGAGUGUUUGGCCGGCCAGGAUUUCCUUGUCCCAUCACGCUCUAGCGACUCCUUGUGGAAGACCAGCGAGCAGUGUGUCUAGAAGCAGUGCGGCUUGGCAGGGUCGUGUUUCGGAGGACGCAUGGUUCUGGACAUUCUCCUUUCCCGAGUCCAUAGGGGAGUUGCAGCGAUGAGACAAGACUGUAACUACCAAUUGGAUAUCACGAAAUUGGGGAGAGAAAGUGGUAACAAAAAAAAGAAGCUCAUAUUGAGAAUAGGUUUUUAUUACCUUUCAUAGGGCUUGUUAUUCUUUGGAGCCAGAAAAGUGCUGAUACGGUGUACAUUCCUGUCUGUGUUGGACUACAGGGAUGUCAUUUACAUGCAAACCUCAAGUUCUACCCUGAAGACACUUGAUUCUGUGUAGCAUGCAACCUUGAAGAUUGCCACCAACCAAAUACGUCUCACACAUCACUGCGAUCUCUAUAGUGCUGUUGGCUGAUCUUCUUUGACUCCACAUAGGCUUAAAUAUUUGGUAUACUAUGAUCUACACUGAAUAUACAAACAUUAAGAACACCUUCCUAACAUUGGGUUGCACCCCCCCCAACACACACACACACUUUUUCUCUCAGAACAGCCUCAAUUCGUCAGGGCAUGGAAUCUACAAGGUGUGGAAAGCGUUCCACAGGGAUACUGGCCCAUGUUGACUCCAAAUCUUCCCACAGUUGUCAAGUUGGCUUGAUGUCCUUUGGGUGGGUGACACUACACAUAAGAAAAUGUUGAAGCAUGAAAAAUCCAGCAGUGCAGCAGUGUUGCAGCUCUUGACACAAAACAAUGUGCCUGGCACCUACUACCAGACCACAGCUUGAAACACCAGCAUCUUGUUUCCUUGGAGGAGUUUCAAAGUUUGCUUGACUCACAUGUUACUGAGGAAUGUGAUUGUCAUUAGGACUUUAUGCGGUGGUACAUAUGGUUGAUUUUUAUCUACAACGUUUGAAUGUUUCUGUAGUUGUAACGUAUAAAUGUUGUUAAUUGUGUGUCUAUGCCUGAUAUUUGUCUGAAACAUGGUCCCCCCCUGUCUUGUUUGGACUAGGUCUCACUUGAUAAAUAGAUUUGAUCUCAAUGAGACUAACCUGGAUAAAAAAAGGCUAUAUCAAAUAAAAUGGUAAAACACACUGCACUGAGCCUGUUUAAAGAG
Molecule: RNA transcript, 6584 nt
Organism: Oncorhynchus keta (chum salmon)
Lineage: Eukaryota; Metazoa; Chordata; Actinopteri; Salmoniformes; Salmonidae
Gene name: protein quaking-B-like
Exons: 8
Source: RefSeq, a predicted model, not a curated record